RNAcentral lists this ribosomal RNA (492 nucleotides) under uncultured bacterium. Its description in RNAcentral is "partial 16S ribosomal RNA". It matches the Rfam family "Bacterial small subunit ribosomal RNA", at positions 29 to 507 of the family's 1533-position model. The record is from RNAcentral.
AGUGAACGCUGGCGGUAGGCCUAACACAUGCAAGUCGAACGGCAGCACAGUAAGAGCUUGCUCUUACGGGUGGCGAGUGGCGGACGGGUGAGGAAUACAUCGGAAUCUACUUUUUCGUGGGGGAUAACGUAGGGAAACUUACGCUAAUACCGCAUACGACCUACGGGUGAAAGCAGGGGAUCUUCGGACCUUGCGCGAUUGAAUGAGCCGAUGUCGGAUUAGCUAGUUGGCGGGGUAAAGGCCCACCAAGGCGACGAUCCGUAGCUGGUCUGAGAGGAUGAUCAGCCACACUGGAACUGAGACACGGUCCAGACUCCUACGGGAGGCAGCAGUGGGGAAUAUUAGACAAUGGGCGCAAGCCUGAUCCAGCCAUACCGCGUGGGUGAAGAAGGCCUUCGGGUUGUAAAGCCCUUUUGUUGGGAAAGAAAAGCAGCAGGUUAAUACCCCGCUGUUCUGACGGUACCCAAAGAAUAAGCACCGGCUAACUUCGCG